RNAcentral lists this ribosomal RNA (448 nucleotides) under uncultured bacterium. Its description in RNAcentral is "bacterial SSU rRNA". It matches the Rfam family "Bacterial small subunit ribosomal RNA", at positions 355 to 796 of the family's 1533-position model. The record is from RNAcentral.
UCGAGAAUUUUUCUCAAUGGGGGCAACCCUGAAGGAGCGACGCCGCGUGGAGGAUGAAGGCUUUCGGGUUGUAAACUCCUGUCAUUUGGGAACAAGUUGUACGUCGUAACUGCACGUGCAUUGAUAGUACCAGAAGAGGAAGAGACGGCUAACUCUGUGCCAGCAGCCGCGGUAAUACAGAGGUCUCGAGCGUUGUUCGGAUUCAUUGGGCGUAAAGGGUGCGUAGGUGGCACUGUAAGUCGGGUGUGAAAUCCUGAGGCUUAACCUCAGAACUGCAUUCGAUACUGCUGUGCUUGAGGACUGGAGAGGAGACUGGAAUUCAUGGUGUAGCAGUGAAAUGCGUAGAGAUCAUGAGGAAGACCAGUGGCGAAGGCGGGUCUCUGGACAGUUCCUGACACUGAGGCACGAAGGCCAGGGGAGCAAACGGGAUUAGAUACCCCCGUAGUCC